This 253-nucleotide ribosomal RNA is filed under the name uncultured bacterium. RNAcentral describes it as "partial 16S ribosomal RNA". It matches the Rfam family "Bacterial small subunit ribosomal RNA", at positions 524 to 776 of the family's 1533-position model. The record is from RNAcentral.
UACGUAGGGUGCGAGCGUUGUCCGGAAUUAUUGGGCGUAAAGGGCUCGUAGGCGGUUUGUCGCGUCGGGAGUGAAAACACGGGGCUUAACCCCGUGCCUGCUUCCGAUACGGGCAGACUAGAGGUAUGCAGGGGAGAACGGAAUUCCUGGUGUAGCGGUGAAAUGCGUAGAUAUCAGGAGGAACACCGGUGGCGAAGGCGGGUCUCUGGGCAACAACUGACGCUGAGGCGCGAAAGCGUGGGGAGCAAACGGG